AUUUAGUAAACGCAUCCAUAUUACAGGGAUCUAAAAUAGAGCUACUGAGUGUACCUUGGAUUUAUGACAUUAUAUUUAUUUAAAAAGGUGCAAUACGCAGAAAUCGCUCCGCCAUUUCCAUGUUGCUAAAUUUCUAAUAGUUCGCCUAAUUUCAGUUUAUGUGACAAAACAAGCAAGUAUAGUGUAGAGAAUCAUGUACUGUCUAAACUGCAGUGAAAUAUAUUUUCCAUAACAAAAAAUAUUGUAUUUUCAGCUGUUUGAAGCUUGUGUACAAAACCGAAAGUAAAAAUGCUGAAAUUCUACUUAAGCGCAGGAAGAAUAGAAAUAGGGCACAUAAGCACAGAUCUACCACUUCUUAGACUUGCUUUCAAUGAGAAUGGCAGAUCUAUAACUGACACUUCUAUGUCAAUUUGGUCGGGUCGCCCAAAAAGUUACAUAUUAGAGCUUUAAAUAUGGCAUUUCAGUGUGAAAAUGAUUUUUACAUGUAAGAAGUUUGAGAGAGAGUAACAUAAUGUUUGUUUGCCUUGUGCUUUUUUAAGACUUGACACAGUCAGGAGCUUGCUAGCUGAAAAGUAACAAGCCAACAUUAGACUACAGUUAGCAUAACUCUCUCUAGCUAACAUUCUUACAGUAACUUGUCCUCUUUUUGUGUGUAGCCUACUUUAGUUAGCUAGCUAGUUGUUGACAGGCAGAGUGUGACAUUUCUUACACAAUGUCUAGUCUUCCAAUGCCAUGGAGAAAUGUCAAUCAAAAAGCACGUUAGCCGCACAAUAAAUCAAGCCAGACCGAACAGACAUGGGUCUAGUUGUGUUUAACGUCUCAACGCACAAGCUCAUCCAAUGACUUUUUUUUGUCACCUCAGUUUGUCACCCUGCUCACCUGGUGAACUGAAAGAAGAAAUCAGUGGGAAGAAAGAAAUGUCAAUGUCGAGCUCCAACACACCAUAUUGUGUCCUGAGGGAGGUGGUCAGCCAGAUGACCGCAGGCUGAUUGGGAUGUGCCGGUGCUGCAGGUGACAUGGCAGGGGGCUGAGGCUUUGCACUUUGUGGGUUCAGUCCUAAAGGUGGGCCAGGAGGUGCAACUGAAGAUGGACUGGGAGCGGAGGUUUGACCACAUGCAGCAACACUUAGGUAU
Oncorhynchus keta (chum salmon) is the source of this 1133-nucleotide long non-coding RNA. RefSeq lists it as uncharacterized. Lineage: Eukaryota; Metazoa; Chordata; Actinopteri; Salmoniformes; Salmonidae. The record is from RefSeq and is a predicted model, not a curated record. The transcript is spliced from 3 exons.